RNAcentral lists this ribosomal RNA (301 nucleotides) under uncultured bacterium. Its description in RNAcentral is "partial 16S ribosomal RNA". It matches the Rfam family "Bacterial small subunit ribosomal RNA", at positions 509 to 807 of the family's 1533-position model. The record is from RNAcentral.
CAGCAGCCGCGGGAAUACGGAGGAUGCAAGCGUUAUCCGGAAUGAUUGGGCGUAAAGUGUCUGUAGGUGGCUUUUCAAGUCCGCCGUCAAAUCCCAGGGCUCAACCCUGGACAGGCGGUGGAAACUACCAAGCUGGAGUACGGUAGGGGCAGAGGGAAUUUCCGAUGGAGCGGUGAAAUGCGUUGAGAUCGGAAAGAACACCAACGGAGAAAGCACUCUGCUGGGCCGACACUGACACUGAGAGACGAAAUCUAGGGGAGCAAAUGGGAUUAGAUACCCCGGUAGUCCCUGUCUCUUAUAC